This 1077-nucleotide long non-coding RNA is filed under the name Homo sapiens (human). RNAcentral describes it as "non-protein coding lnc-ATMIN-4:1". Lineage: Eukaryota; Metazoa; Chordata; Mammalia; Primates; Hominidae. The record is from RNAcentral.
AUCCGCUCCGGGCGCUGCCGCCGGAAGGGCCAGCGACGGAGGGUCUCAGAUGGCGGGGCUUGAGGCCCACCCGGGCUCUCGGGUCGGCGAGUCCCGUUGGGGAGCCCUUGUGCCUGCUAGGAUAUUUAGCAGAUGCCAGGCGGCCAGAAACGUCCUCACUUUUCUCCCUCGGCCCUCUGGGGAACCGCCGUGAGCGUUUCCCACGGACACAAACUUAACAGGCCCAGAACGUCCAGGGAGGACGCGUUGUGAGCCUCAAAGAGCCCACUUACGUGACCGACAGCACCAGGCCGACGGGCACUCGCUGAACUGCUGGCCCGGAGCAGCACAGCUCUUAAGUGGGCAGUGGCAUCUUUUAUACAAAUAAAGGAAGGUGGCCCCACGUCCCUAAAACAACAGCUUGCUGAAGAGAGAUCGCAAAGCAUCCCCCACUCCAGCUCGGGUCUGACUCCAAAGCCCUUCUGCUUUAGAAAGUGUGACUAUUUCUGCUGUAGAAAACCGGUAUCUAGGCCAGGCGCGGUGGCUCACGCCUGUAAUCCCAGCACUUGGGAGGCCGAGAUCUAUUGAAAACAGCUGGGCACCGUGGCUCACACCUGGAAUCCCAGCUGAGGCAGGAGGCUCCCUUGAGCCCAGGAGUUGAAGGUUGCAGUAAGCUAUGAUUGUGUCACUGCACUCCAGCCUGGGAAACAGUGCAAGACCUUGCAUAUUAGAAAAAAGUUUCUGGGAAGUAUACCAAAAGUCUUAACUAAGAUUUGCUAAAUGAAUAUUAAUUAAAUAACCUAACGGCAAGUACAUGGGGAAGUUGGAGGAUCUAGAACCUGACUUCCUUCACACUAACUAUUCCUGCAUUUAGCAGGUAAAAGCCCGAUAGCAUGAUUGAGUGGAAACAUGAAGGGACAAGGGUUUGGCUAGUUAUGUUUAUAAAAAGUCAACAUAGGAAUUGAGUCAAGAUACCAGAAACUCUACUUAUAGUAAGAUCCCACUUUGCAAAAACGGAGAAUGGAAGCGUACAGAACUGUACCUUCUCCUCAAUUUUGCUGUGACUGUAAACUUCCUCUAACACAUAAAAUGUAUUUU